UACGUAGGGGGCAAGCGUUGUCCGGAAUCAUUGGGCGUAAAGCGCGUGUAGGCGGUUCGGUAAGUCUGCUGUGAAAGUCCAGGGCUCAACCCUGGGAUGCCGGUGGAUACUGUCGGACUAGAGUACGGAAGAGGCGAGUGGAAUUCCUGGUGUAGCGGUGAAAUGCGCAGAUAUCAGGAAGAACACCCGUGGCGAAGGCGGCUCUCUGGGACGGUACUGACGCUGAGACGCGAAAGCGUGGGGAGCGAACAGG
RNAcentral lists this ribosomal RNA (253 nucleotides) under uncultured bacterium. RNAcentral describes it as "partial 16S ribosomal RNA". It matches the Rfam family "Bacterial small subunit ribosomal RNA", at positions 524 to 776 of the family's 1533-position model. The record is from RNAcentral.